GGGCGUGUGGUCUAGUGGUAUGAUUCUCGCUUUGGGCGACGAUUUAGCAACACUAAAUUGAUUACUACAAGCAUGCGAGAGGCCCUGGGUUCAAUUCCCAGCUCGCCCC
This is a transfer RNA of 109 nucleotides. It matches the Rfam family "tRNA". From Rfam's summary of the family: Transfer RNA (tRNA) molecules are approximately 80 nucleotides in length. Their secondary structure includes four short double-helical elements and three loops (D, anti-codon, and T loops). The record is from Rfam.